UUUAAAGAGAGUUUGAUCCUGGCUCAGGACGAACGCUGGCGGCGUGCCUAAUACAUGCAAGUCGAACGAACCGACGAAAAGCUUGCUUUUCUGACGUGAGUGGCGGACGGGUGAGUAACACGUGGGCAACCUGCCUAUCAGUUGGGGAUAACUCCGGGAAACCGGGGCUAAUACCGAAUAAUAACGAGCGUCGCAUGACGCU
Molecule: ribosomal RNA, 202 nt
Filed under: Listeria booriae
Lineage: Bacteria; Bacillati; Bacillota; Bacilli; Caryophanales; Listeriaceae
Description: partial 16S ribosomal RNA
Rfam family: Bacterial small subunit ribosomal RNA
Source: RNAcentral